ACAAAGGCUCUUUUCAGAGCCAUUCUACACUCUUAGAGAAAGCUGG
Pan troglodytes (chimpanzee) is the source of this 46-nucleotide non-coding RNA. Lineage: Eukaryota; Metazoa; Chordata; Mammalia; Primates; Hominidae. The record is from Rfam.